Molecule: ribosomal RNA, 253 nt
Filed under: uncultured bacterium
Lineage: Bacteria
Description: partial 16S ribosomal RNA
Rfam family: Bacterial small subunit ribosomal RNA
Source: RNAcentral
UACGGAGGGUGCAAGCGUUAUCCGGAUUCACUGGGUUUAAAGGGUGCGCAGGUGGAGUGGUAAGUCAGUGGUGAAAUCUCCAAGCUUAACUUGGAAACUGCCGUUGAUACUAUCAUUCUUGAAUAUCGUGGAGGUAAGCGGAAUAUGUCAUGUAGCGGUGAAAUGCUUAGAUAUGACAUAGAACACCGAUUGCGAAGGCAGCUUGCUACACGAUCAUUGACACUGAGGCACGAAAGCGUGGGGAUCAAACAGG